UACGUAGGGUGCAAGCGUUGUCCGGAAUUAUUGGGCGUAAAGAGCUCGUAGGCGGUUUGUCGCGUCUGCCGUGAAAAGUCCGGGGCUCAACUCCGGAUCUGCGGUGGGUACGGGCAGACUAGAGUGAUGUAGGGGAGACUGGAAUUCCUGGUGUAGCGUGAAAUGCGUAGAUAUCUGGAGGAACACCGGUGGCGAAGGCGGCAUCCUGGACCGACACUGACGCUGAGGCGCGAAAGCUAGGGGAGCAAACGGG
This 253-nucleotide ribosomal RNA is filed under the name uncultured bacterium. RNAcentral's name for it is "partial 16S ribosomal RNA". It matches the Rfam family "Bacterial small subunit ribosomal RNA", at positions 524 to 776 of the family's 1533-position model. The record is from RNAcentral.